ACCCCCGUGAGAAUGCCCUAACAGUUCCCUUAUUCAGGGGACAAGGAGCUGGUAUCAGGCACUAUAUAUUAAGCCCACAACACCUUGCUUAGCCACACCUCCAAAGGAAUUCAGCAGUGACAGACAUUAAGACUAUAAGUGAAAACUUGACUUAGCCAUGGUUAACAGGGCCGGUAAAUCUCGUGCCAGCCACCGCGGUUAUACGAGAAGGCCCAAGUUGAUGCACGUCGGCGUAAAGGGUGGUUAAAAUAACAAAAUACACUAAAGCCGAACGCUUUCAAGACUGUUAUACGUUUACGAAAGUAAGAAGCUCAACUACAAAAGUGGCUUUAUAACAUUUGACUCCACGAAAGCUGGGAAACAAACUGGGAUUAGAUACCCCACUAUGCUCAGCCAUAAACCUCGAUGUUUACUACAUACAUCAUCCGCCAGGGUACUACGAGCACUAGCUUAAAACCCAAAGGACUUGGCGGUGCUUUAGACCCACCUAGAGGAGCCUGUUUCAGAAUCGAUAAUCCCCGUUAAACCUCACCCCUUUUUGUUUCUUCCGCCUGUAUACCGCCGUCGUCAAUCUACCCUGUGAAGGGUCAAUAGUGGAUAAAAUUAGCACAGCUCAGAACGUCAGGUCAAGGUGCAGCAUAUGAAGGGGGAAGAAAUGGGCUACAUUUCCUACUAAGGAAAAACGAAAAAUAAGAUGAAAUGCUUACUAGAAGGAGGAUUUAGCAGUAAAUAGAAAAUAGAGUGUUCUACUGAAGCAGGCCCUGAAGCGCGCACACACCGCCCGUCACUCUCCCCAAGCUAACAUCCAAUAUAAAUAAAACUAACACCAGCAAAGGGGAGGCAAGUCGUAACAUGGUAAGUGUACCGGAAGGUGCACUUGGACAAU
This 886-nucleotide non-coding RNA is filed under the name Belonepterygion fasciolatum (barred spiny basslet). RNAcentral's name for it is "partial 12S rRNA". It matches the Rfam family "Bacterial small subunit ribosomal RNA", at positions 173 to 1533 of the family's 1533-position model. Lineage: Eukaryota; Metazoa; Chordata; Actinopteri; Plesiopidae. The record is from RNAcentral.